RNAcentral lists this long non-coding RNA (2402 nucleotides) under Anas platyrhynchos platyrhynchos (common mallard). Its description in RNAcentral is "lncRNA (ENSAPLG00000028396.1)". The record is from RNAcentral. Lineage: Eukaryota; Metazoa; Chordata; Aves; Anseriformes; Anatidae.
AGGGUAGGACUGCUAGUCCAAGACCUGAUGGCCAAGGAAUUCCUUUUCCAGGGACAAGUCAAGUGGCUGAGCUCUCACCCCUCUUGAGGUCACAAGCAGGAGGUUCACCCCUUUGUCCAGAAAUGGGAGUACAUCCAUACACACAUCAAGGGAGAAGAAAACCAUCAGUACUUCACAGGACUGAGACACAUGUGCAGAGCAAGUAUGUAAGAGCCAGCCAGGAGCUCCAGCCAGAAAUGCUGGCUGUAUCUUGUUAGCCUCAGCAAGAGCUUGGAUGUCAGACCUUGAGUGCCAAGCCUAUGGACCCAGUGGCUUUGCUGGGAAGACUGACUUCUGUGUGGUCCUGUUCCACCUAUCCUGUUGUAUCUGUACUUCACUCAGAGAGGCAGCUGUCCGUGAUAACAGAUCUUCCUAAUGUCACGGGUCACAUCACCAGGAAAGUGGGAAGGCUCAGGAUGACAAACUGAAAGUAAUCUGUCACUGUCAAAUCCAUAGGAUCAAAGGAAAAACAAACUGUAUCUGUUUUGGCAAAUGGUGAAGGGACAAGGAAAAGCACAGGCUGUUAGGUUAAUGUAGACAGACAGGACUGACCUCUACAAUCUAGAGUAGUUUAUGUUGCUGCAGCAUUUUGCAUGCAGAAAUUGCUUUUGUCAGGGAACCUCCAAGCACUUUGCAGACGAUGUAAUUAAGAGCUGCAAUGCUCCUGGAAGGUUACGGUCACCCUGCAACACAGUGACCCUAGGAGAGGUGGUAGGUGACUCGGGUAGAUACCCAAGACGUAACUUCAAGUGUUUUGGUCACCAACAGACAUAAGGGUAACAAUGACAUGGACACACCAACAACACUGAUGAUAGUGAGCGCCUGACCACCCAUCUCAGGGCUAUGAGUGCACAAUUCAGAACUGAGGGGAGGAAUGUUCAACACUGGUACAGAAGUCUGGAGCAGGACAAUCUCUGUCUCAGGGGAUCUACAGAGAAGUAUUUCCAGGGAUGCUGCAAGUGUUCAGUAAAGCCAUGGGGUCUACAAGGUCUCUCUACAAGGAUGGUCUGCAGGGGAAGGCUGGAAUCAUUACGGCCAGAGGAGGAUAUGCUUAUGAAGACUGAAUAUCCUAUUUCAGAAUCUGCCACCAGAAGUGCUGACACUGCCUGCUGAUUUCUGUGCUCUGGGCAUAGGACGUGCCUUGGGCAAGGACUCUUUCUGUGCCAUAUUUCCCAAAAACCUGCCUCUGAGAAAUACACAGGCAGGAGUGUAUGGAAGCAUUACUGAGCACCCCCAUGCAACAGCAAGGCCAGCGUGUUUUUGGUUGCAGUCUGGACUAAAUGCAUGUGGCAGGAUGAAAGACAACAUCUGAAAGUCACAAAAGACGGCAAGUUGAUGUCUUGUUUUCAUAAAACCUUUUUUUUUUUUUUUUUUUUUUUUCCAGCACAACUGCCCUCAGGUGUAGCAGCGCCCAGUACCAGCAAUGCUAUUCAGUGUGAGCCAUUUCCUUUAGGAAAAGUGUGUGUGAGAAUUCAGAUUAUUUUUUUUGCCUAGCACAGCUGCUGCUUGUGCUGCAAAACCAGAGCCACAGCUGAUGACAAGGUAGUGCGGAGCAUGACACCUCUGCUGGUGCCACUCCAGCAACACCAAGCCCUGCAGCCAGGCUGAGGCACCCCAUACACUUCUUAAUUGUCGAUAACGUGCAACUGGGACAACCUAAACCCUAGCUGAGUGAAUGCAGUAAGUUAUGCUGGAGUGUUGGGGUAGACCUUUUUGGUCCAGGUGGCUGCACAAAGCCCUGCAAAAGGCAGUUCCCACUGUGCAAUUCAUGAGCACCCAUGGAUCUCUGUGCCCAUAUCACCCCCAAAAUAAUCCAUCAGCCCCGAAGGUUUUAAAGGCAGUUUGUGCCAGAAUAGCUCUAACAGCAUAGGGGUGAUCAUCUCAUGCUUCUGCUCAACACGCAGCGUUGGAGUCCGUAAGCCGCGGUGGCUCAGUGGGGAGGUGAGCGCUGCAGCCACAUUUCACCCUGAGAAACCUCAGCAAGGCAAAUGGGAGGUGUCAGAGAAGAUGUCCAGCAGGUGGGCACACUCAAGUCACAAGUGACUGGUCAUGGUGGUGAUAAUGGCCUCCUUACAGUGGCCUCUCGCCUCAUGACAGUACCUUUGGAAGAUAAUAGUUUUUCAAUAACUUACCUGUGUAACUUAAACACCAGUGUAAUUCAGAGUGAAUGGCUUCGAGCCUUACAAAAAAUCCUUUGAAAGAAUGAAAAGGUGUUAACAUUUCCAACCUGAAAGUAUUUGUUUACAGUGCAGCAAAAAUAAUAAUAUAUUUAAAAAAGAAAAAAAAAAAAAAAAAAAGAAAAAAAAAAAAAGAAAAGAGGUGAAAAAGACCACACAGGGAAUAAAGAUCUCCCUGUUUAUUCA